Molecule: ribosomal RNA, 440 nt
Filed under: uncultured bacterium
Lineage: Bacteria
Description: partial 16S ribosomal RNA
Rfam family: Bacterial small subunit ribosomal RNA
Source: RNAcentral
CCUACGGGAGGCAGCAGUGGGGAAUAUUGCACAAUGGGGGAAACCCUGAAGCAGCAACGCCGCGUGGGGGAUGAAGGUUUUCGGAUUGUAAACUCCUUUUGUUAGGGAAGAUAAAGACGGUAUCUAGCGAAUAAACACCGGCUAACUCCGUGCCAGCAGCCGCGGUAAUACGGAGGGUGCAAGCGUUACUCGGAAUCACUGGGUGUAAAGGGAGCGUAGGCGGGAUAGCAAGUCAGAUGUGAAAUCCUAUGGCUUAACCAUAGAACUGCAUUUGAAACUGUUAUUCUAGAGUAUGGGAGAGGUAGGUGGAAUUCUUGGUGUAGCGGUAAAAUCCGUAGAGAUCAAGAGGAAUACUCAUGGCGAAGGCGACCUGCUAGAACAUAACUGACGCUGAUGCGCGAAAGCGUGGGGAGCAAACAGGAUUAGAUACCCGAGUAGUC